This is a non-coding RNA of Cicer arietinum (chickpea), 370 nucleotides long. Lineage: Eukaryota; Viridiplantae; Streptophyta; Magnoliopsida; Fabales; Fabaceae. The record is from RefSeq and is a predicted model, not a curated record.
CUCUUAGAAAUUGUAGCAAUGAUGAAAACCAACGUUUUUAAUUUGUGUUUCUUUUGUGCAUUGUUUCUUUUAUCUGUUGUGAUAACUGAGACAUCCAAAGAUGAUAAACAAUAUACAAAUAGUUAUCAUGUUAUGCAAAAGACUUAAAGAAAAAUGUUCUGUUAGAUAAGCUUGAUGGUAGCCGAAGACCAAGUGACAUAGAACCUUAUGAUCCAAAUAAGCCUAAGGAUCCAAAGAUUCACUUAAAAACUAGAUGCAUAAUUUAUAUCUCAUGCUUAUGCAUUAUUAGUUGUAAAAAAAAUGUAUAAAAUAAAGCAUACACGAUAAUCAUUGGGUGAUUGGGUGAAUGAAUAAUAAUAAUUUUUUUUUA